CGUAGGUGGCAAGCGUUGUCCGGAUUUAUUGGGUUUAAAGGGUGCGUAGGCGGUCAAAUAAGUCAGUUGUGAAAUACGGCAGCUCAACUGUCGAGGUGCAAUUGAUACUGUUUGACUUGAGUACUGUUGAGGUAGGCGGAAUGGACGGUGUAGCGGUGAAAUGCUUAGAGAUCGUCCAGAACACCGAUAGCGAAGGCAGCUUACUAAAGAGUAACUGACGCUGAGGCACGAAAGUGUGGGGAUCAAACAGGAUUAGAUACCCUGGUAGUCCACACUGUAAACGAUGAUUACUCGAUGUGUGCGAUACACAGCACGCGUCUUAAGCAAAAGCGAUAAGAAUCCACCUGGGGAUACGCCGCAACGGUG
RNAcentral lists this ribosomal RNA (366 nucleotides) under uncultured organism. Its description in RNAcentral is "bacterial SSU rRNA". It matches the Rfam family "Bacterial small subunit ribosomal RNA", at positions 526 to 896 of the family's 1533-position model. The record is from RNAcentral.